GCGAAUUAUGGAAUUCACUACACCGGGCACCCAAAGGUGCUUGAAGGGUAUAGUGACUCAAACUGGAUCUCAGAUGCUGAUGAGAUAAAGGCCACGAGCGGUUAUGUAUUCACUCAUGGAGGUGGCGCUGUUUCUUGGAAGUCUUGCAAGCAGACCAUCUUAACGAGGUCAACAAUGGAAGCAGAACUCACAGCACUAGAUACAGCUACGGUCGAAGCAGAUUGGCUUCGCCGGCUCUUGAAUGACUUGCCGGUUGUUGAGAAACCUGUACCGGGUAUCCUUAUGAACUGCGACAAUCAAACUGUGAUCACAAAAGUGAGCAGCUCAAAGGAUAACAUGAAGUCAUCAAGACACGUUCAGGGAAGGUUGAAGUCUGUCAGGAAAAUGAGAAACUCCGGAGUUAUUGCAUUGGAUUAUAUCCAAACGUCUAAAAAUCUGGCAGAUCCUUUUACUAAGGGUCUAUCACGCAAUGUGAUAGAUAAUGCAUCGAGGGAGAUGGGUAUGAGACCCACA
This 513-nucleotide ribosomal RNA is filed under the name Triticum aestivum (bread wheat). Its description in RNAcentral is "partial small subunit ribosomal RNA". Lineage: Eukaryota; Viridiplantae; Streptophyta; Magnoliopsida; Poales; Poaceae. The record is from RNAcentral.